GACGAACGCUGGCGGCGUGCUUAACACAUGCAAGUCGAACGGAAAGGCCCUGCUUUUGUGGGGUGCUCGAGUGGCGAACGGGUGAGUAACACGUGAGUAACCUGCCCUUGACUUUGGGAUAACUUCAGGCAACUGGGGCUAAUACCGGAUAGGAGCUCCUGCUGCAUGGUGGGGGUUGGAAAGUUUCGGCGGUUGGGGAUGGACUCGCGGCGGAUCAGGUUGUUGGUGGGGUAGUGGCUUACCAAGGCGAUGACGCAUAGCUGGUCUGAGGGGAGGACCAGGCACAGUGGGAGUGAGACCGGGCGCAGACUCGUGCGGGAGGCAGCAGGGGGGAAUGUGGGACAAUGGGCGAAAGCGUGAUACAGCAAUGCCGCGUGAGGGAUGAAGGGCUUAGGGGUGUAAAGGUCUUUUAACCGGGAUGAUAAUGACAGUACCGGGAGAAUAAGCGAAGGCUAACUCCGUG
RNAcentral lists this ribosomal RNA (463 nucleotides) under uncultured bacterium. RNAcentral's name for it is "partial 16S ribosomal RNA". It matches the Rfam family "Bacterial small subunit ribosomal RNA", at positions 28 to 507 of the family's 1533-position model. The record is from RNAcentral.